This 255-nucleotide ribosomal RNA is filed under the name uncultured bacterium. Its description in RNAcentral is "partial 16S ribosomal RNA". It matches the Rfam family "Bacterial small subunit ribosomal RNA", at positions 524 to 778 of the family's 1533-position model. The record is from RNAcentral.
UACGUAGGGUCCGAGCGUUGUCCGGAAUCACUGGGCGUAAAGGGUGCGUAGGCGGGUCUUUAAGUCAGGGGUGAAAUCCUGGAGCUCAACUCCAGAACUGCCUUUGAUACUGAGGAUCUUGAGUUCGGGAGAGGUGAGUGGAACUGCGAGUGUAGAGGUGAAAUUCGUAGAUAUUCGCAAGAACACCAGUGGCGAAGGCGGCUCACUGGCCCGAUACUGACGCUGAGGCACGAAAGCGUGGGGAGCAAACAGGGA